UACGUAGGGUGCAAGCGUUAAUCGGAAUUACUGGGCGUAAAGCGUGCGCAGGCGGUUGUGUAAGACAGAUGUGAAAUCCCCGGGCUCAACCUGGGAACUGCAUUUGUGACUGCACGGCUGGAGUGCGGCAGAGGGGGAUGGAAUUCCGCGUGUAGCAGUGAAAUGCGUAGAUAUGCGGAGGAACACCGAUGGCGAAGGCAGCCCCCUGGGCCAACACUGACGCUCAGGCACGAAAGCGUGGGGAGCAAACAGG
This 253-nucleotide ribosomal RNA is filed under the name uncultured bacterium. Its description in RNAcentral is "partial 16S ribosomal RNA". It matches the Rfam family "Bacterial small subunit ribosomal RNA", at positions 524 to 776 of the family's 1533-position model. The record is from RNAcentral.